Equus caballus (horse) is the source of this 5192-nucleotide long non-coding RNA. The record is from Ensembl. Lineage: Eukaryota; Metazoa; Chordata; Mammalia; Perissodactyla; Equidae.
GGCUCUCCCACAUCUGAGGAAACACACCUCGUGGCUGGGAUGCUGCGAGCGGCCCCUCCUUUCCUUAGAAGUAUUUCUUUGCACGGAGCCUGCAAUACCCAGGGUGCCUUUCCUUGAGCGUCCCUCAUCUGGUCAGGUGGGAAGGGCGCCUCGGGGACAUAGCUCCUCCCCAGUCUGAUGGAGCUUGCUGAUGGGUCAGUCUGAUGUGUCGGUUUGCAGUACGGCCUCGUUUUAUUCAUUGAGUCCCUCAAAAAGUGCUCACUGAGUCCCUAGGGUGUACCGGGAGCAAGGGAUGGAAGAGGGCACCAAAGCCCCAGCCCUCCUGGGACUUACCUUCUAGCGAGGAAGACAGAGAGAAACAGUUGAGUAAAUUUAUAGUGCCAGGUAAUGAUAGGACACUGCCAGGAAAGCGAGUUAAGAGACUGGGAAAUGGGGUGCUGCUGUAGGUUGGGAGGCCAGGGGCGUCCCAGUGAGGAGGCGAGGUAUCAGCAAAGCCCUGACCCACUGAGGAGAUGAGCCGUGUGACUGCAGGAGAGGGCAACAGCCCUCUGUGAGCAAUGCUGGAUGUCUGUGGAAUAUUGGGGAGGCCAGCAUGCAGGAGCGGUGACAGGAAGGGGAGAGAGGCAGGAAAGGAGGUGUGAGAGGGAGCCCGGGGUCAAGUGGCCUUGACAGGGCUACACUCUGCAGGAUUGAGAGCAGGGAUGUGACAUGACUUCAAGACCCUUUCCAUCUGAGUUGCUGUAUUCUCUCUAUAUUUUAGCUGGUUACUACCUCUGUAUAAGGGAGUAACCCAGAAUUGCCUCCAAUCUUCCAGGUGAGGCCUAACUUGCAGAGUAGAGCAGGACCAUCCCCUCCUUUAUUCUGGACAUACUGUUUCUAUGAAUAUCAUCUGAGGCCUCUCAUAUUCCAUUUUAGGUAACCGGUUAUUGUGUUGUUUUCUUUUGCAUAUUGAACUCUUGAACUAUUCUCCCCGAGUUUCUUCCCACCCUGACCCUCCUGUCCCCUGGCUUAAUCCCCACUGAUGUCAUGGAGCUUCAGGAAACGUCCUGGAAGCCAAGUGGUGGCGUACUCAGAACAAGGUCUUUACAGAUACAUUUUUGACAUUUUUGUAUUUGCCUCAUCCUGGUUUCCUUUAAACGUGCCAGGUUCAACCACCCUGAACUUGUUGGGAUGGCUUUUAGGGGCCCAAUGGUGGAAUACUUCCAUAUGAAAUUCUACCUUAUUAGACUUGGCACAUUGUUUCACUCUUUAGAAAUAUUUUUAGACCCCGGUUCUAGCAUCUUCGUGCACAAGUUAUUGCUCUCAUCUUUGUCAUCAACAGAUUUCUUCAGGAUAUCAGUUGUAACAAUAUUGUACUGAGUAAGGCUCCAGCUAGAGUCCUGUGGCGAGUCAAUAGAGACCUCCAUCGAAGUUGAAAUGGAUCCAUUACCAAGACUUUUAGGCAGUGAUUGUUCAACCAGCUGCAAAUCAGUCUAAUUUACCCCACAUCUACCCUACGCCUCUACAGGCCAGUGUAAAAGAUUUUUGCCUAACGUCAUACUGAAAUUCACACGUGUUGCCUUGACCUUCCAGCGCAACCACAUUGUCAAAGAAAUGGAGGUCUGCUCACACCUCACAGUUCACAUUUUCUUUGGCCCCUCUCUGUUACCAACGCUGGACUUUUCCUGCUGGCCUGAGGCUCCUCUUACAUCAGACACCGGCCACCCCUAGAACUUGCUUCCUCAUUUUUUGCUGUAACUGACUGUACGACACAGUGUUGGCUCCCUAAACGCAUUGGACAUACACCUGAAUGGCUGCGCGUCAGUGGCGGUGCUUUGAGUCCUGUUUCAGGUAUGCGGUGAACUGCUCGCUUGCUCACUCAGUGAAGUUACUGAUCGCUCCCUCCAAAAGUCCAGUUCUGCCAAGACGUAAAACCCUUUUGUAACACAAGUAUAAUACUUUCGAAUGUAGAUUUUGUUUACCUGUACUGAAUUUUCUCAAAAUGAACCAUACCUUUAAACACGAUAAUGACAGGCUAGGGCUGCUGUAACUUGAAUCAUCAGUGAAUACAAUACCUGGCACAUGGUGUGCUCCUGCCGGGAAAUUCUUUAACCUCAACUCUUCAGACUUAGGAAAAUAAGUAGUAUUUUCUUUAAAUUGGUAGUUUAUGUGAGGAUAAACAAAAGCAGUUUCCAUCUGGUUUGACGUUGACCCGGGAUUAUUUUCAAGUCAUCCUUGUUCCUCCUUUGCAAACGAAAUCACAGUCUCCAGGAGGAUGCAGCCAGUUAGUCUCGCCCGUCGCUGUCUUCAGAGUCAGCACGGUACCUGGACUCUGUAGAACACGUGCUCAGUGAACAUUUCUUGAACAGAUAAAUGAGGAAUAAAUGAAUACAUGUGUACAAAAAGCUUACUUCAUCUAGUCAUAAAAUGAUUUCAGUUUGCCAUGGGAUCAAAUGUAGACAUGACCAAUGCCUUCUAGAAAGAAACCUUUGGGGCAAAAAUCACCAUCUGAGUUGCACAAAUAAUAGUAAUAUUUUUGAUCAACAGUUCUCAAAUGUUUUGUUCUCAGGACUCCUUUAUACUCUAAAAAAUUGUUGAGAACCCCAAAGAGUUUUUGCUUAUAUAGGACAUAUCCAUUGAUACUUGCAAUAUUAGAAAUUAAAACCAAAAUUAAAUGUUAAUUUGAAAUAAUAGCAAUACUCAUAAUAUACCAACAUAAUGUUUUGUGAAAAUGUAUUUUCCAAAAUAAAAAUAAAUUAUGAGUGACAUUAUUUAAAAUAUUUGAAAAUCUCUUGACUGUCUGGCUUAGUAGAAGAUAGCUGGAUUCUCGUCUCUGCUUCUGCCUUCAAUCUAUGGUAAUAUUACCUGUCAUGUGGCCUCUAGAAAACUCCACAGUAUACUCAAGAGAAUGGGAUUUUCAUUAAAAUAGUUGUGAUCUGUGGACCCCCUGAAAGGGCUUGGAGAACCCCAGGAGUCCCUGGACUAUAAUUUGAGAACCUCUGUUCUAAAUGUUUACACUUUUAAAAUAAUAAAGCUAUUCAAUUCAUAACAGUUUCUUCUUUGCCUAGAAUAUCAGAACCUUCAGGGCGAAGGUCAUCCAUCAGCUCAGGUGGGGAAUGACAGCCUGUCCAUCACCUGUCACGCUGCUCAGCUGCUGCCUGAUUGCUACUGGGCUUUUCCUUCCUUUUUAGUGUUAAUGGUUUUUGGCCGUACUUCUUCUGCGUUUUCAUUAGAAGAUGCUGCCAGUCCUUUCUGGAAAGAGGUUAAGUGUUUAAAAGUAUAGGAAUAUCUGUCUAUCCAUCUAUCUAUCUAUCUACACACACAUAAAAAGCAACACAUACAAGUUUGAAAGUACACUUUCAUUUCAUUUUCAGUAUCUAUCUAGCUAACGCACCUCAACAGGAUGAAAAUAUAUAAUAUAGUCACUUGAAAGGUUAAGAAAAUCCUCAGGUUGUCUGAAUGGGCCUUCUUCACAGAGCCCAGAGAAUGGGGUUCAAGUGCAGGGCCUGCUCUCUAAACAGCUACAGCUCCAUGACAGGCAAUUUAUCACUCAAGAAAUGAGGCAAAUCAUCAAGGUCUCAGAGUGUCUGAACUGUUCCUCAGAACUCCCACCCGGACCAUCCACUUUUUCUCUGUCAAUAACUAAUUUGACUGAAGCCUAUGAGAGUCGCACUUUUUCAGUGCCAGCCCACUGCAUGUCAUUUUUCUGUCUGGGAGAACUGCCCUUCAGUCAUCCAGGCGGGUGAGCGCCCCGCCUUGCCUGUCUCAGGGCACCCUGUUUGGGGCCACCCUUGACCGGAUCAGGUUGUGCACCUGACCCAGGCUGAGCCAACCGCAUUCUCUCUCGUGGGAAUGUGGCCUCGGAUUGAGCACAGCCAGCUACCCGGGACCGACCUCUUCAGUAGGGAGGGUGUAAACCCGGCAGUUGUGAGGGAUCCUCUUCCACUCAGCUGCCCAGAGAGAAGAAGGAAGGAGAGUUGAUUGCAGAGAGACGUGGAGCAGAGGCGAAGGCUGGAGAAGGCCUGCUUCCUGGCUUCCUCGUAGCCAUCUGUCCUUGGGCUUCAUGAGAUACUGCCUCACCACAUAUUUCCCUUAAUAAUUAAGCCAGCUCAAGUUGAUUCCUUGCAACCAAAAGCUCUCAACUAAAGCAAAGGCAAAGCCAGAAGCAUUGGUGAGUUUUUCGCUACAGCCGGGUCCUGUAAAAGAUCCUGGAGAGGAUUGAUUGUAGGUCCUAAAUACGCAUCAUCGACUCACUGAAGGCUUCCAUCCGGCCAAAACACGUUUCCAUCCAAGGCCAACUAGAUUAGGAAAUGGCGUUUCCUCCUGCUUUCCAUCCCUGGAGGGCAAAUGUACAGAUGACUGGAGUUAGCAAUUGACUCUGUGGGUUAGUAUUUGCUGAGGGCACACGCCCAGGGACUUGAAUGACAGCAAUCCCCAGGUGCCAGGGAGGAGGCUGGCAAUUACGCUUCCCAUCACUGGCCUAUUCACCACUCCUGCAAACCAGCAUUCCUCAGAGCACUGACCCUCAAUGACUGGCAGGGCGACCGACUUUUAAAAGUGCCCAUUUUUAGCAGCUGGAAAUAAUAAACAGAGGGAAGUGAAGAUGCUGGAGGACUGAUUUCUCUUCCACUGUUUUCAAAAGUCAAAAGAUGCUAUAGACUAGUGGACUGGCAAGGAUGCCACGGAAAGCUGGUGCAACUCCUGCCGCAGAGCAGCUGUGUGAUGAUGGGUUAGUCCAUACACCUCCCUGGGCCUCAGUUUUUACAGCUGCAGAAUGACGAGGUAGAACUAGAAGGUCUUUAAUAUCCUUUUCAUCUCCAACUUUCUACAAUCUUUGUGAGCUGGAAAGAUUUACAUAGAACUUCAUCUUGAUUUUAUUACUUGUAGUUCAUCUUCUUGUGACAGAGCCGGCGGCAGCCUGUGCGUGCGGAAGUUGUGGAGUCAGACAGAUGAAGGAUGGAAUCCUGGGUCUGCCCCUAAGAGCUGUGCGAGCACGGCCAAGGCACUUUGCCCAUCCAUGCCUCGGUGUCCACAUGUGUAAAAUGGGACUAAGACCCACGCGAUUGUUGAAAGAAUUAAACGCAACAAAUUUGACAAACUUCUUAGCACAAUGCCUGACAUGUUAGCUGUUAUUUUUUGCAUCCUAUAUUUUGUGUGCCUGCUCUUUGCCGGGCCUGUCGCCUGGGAGAGCAGACACUGUGCUCUCUGCACAG